Patella vulgata (common limpet) is the source of this 755-nucleotide long non-coding RNA. RefSeq lists it as uncharacterized. The transcript is spliced from 7 exons. The record is from RefSeq and is a predicted model, not a curated record. NCBI's taxonomy places the organism in Eukaryota, Metazoa, Mollusca, Gastropoda, Patellidae.
CGUGACAUAUACCAAACUUAACCUGAAAGAAAAUCAUCAAAAUGAAAUUAUUGUUUUUAGUAGCCGUCGUAGCAGCUGUAUGGGUGGUAGAAGCUCAACAUCAUUGUCGUGAAGACCACGAAUGUGGAGGUGUGACACACUGUGAACCUCACGAAGAACAUUUCUGUGAUGUACGUGAAGGAAGAUGUGCAUGUAGAGCUGUAUGGGUGGUAGAAGCUCAACAUCUUUGUCAAAACGACCACGAAUGUGCAGCUGUGAUCCACUGCCAAUCUAACGAAGAACAUGUCUGUGGUAAUGAUGGAAGAUGUGCAUGUAGAGACCGAUCUGUUGUAGGAAAACGACAACAACACCACUGUCGUGACGAUGGUGAAUGUGACCAUGCCCAAUGUAAUAUUAACUCAGAAGGUUUCUGUGACGAGCAUGGAAUUUGUGGCUGUCGAGACCUACCUCAUUGUGGAGAGAAUCGUGACUGUGGACAUCUGCAGUGUGCAGCUCAUGAAGAAGCUUUCUGUGACGCACAACAUGGCUGCCAUUGCAGAGACUUGCCGGUAGCUCAUUGUCGAGACGACCGUGAAUGUGGACAUCUGACCAAUUGUGCCAAUAAUCAAGAACCUUCCUGUAACCAGCAGGGAGGCUGCAUUUGUAGAGACCGACCUGCCGGGGUAACGCCAGUGUGAUCAUUGGGCAACGCCAGAAUAUCAUCAAGUUCAUUGUCACUGUCAUCAUCUGUGAAAAUAAACUGUAUAAUUAGUCUA